Molecule: ribosomal RNA, 375 nt
Filed under: uncultured bacterium
Lineage: Bacteria
Description: bacterial SSU rRNA
Rfam family: Bacterial small subunit ribosomal RNA
Source: RNAcentral
UAAUACGGAGGUGGCAAGCGUUGCUCGGAUUUACUGGGUGUAAAGGGCACGUAGGCGGUCUAGUAAGCCCUGCUUGAAAUGCUUUGGCUCAACCAGAGCAUGUGGCGGGGGACUGCCAGACUUGAGGAUGAGAGAGGCGAGCGGAAUUCCCGGUGUAAGGGUGAAAUCUGUAGAUAUCGGGAGGAACACCAGUGGCGAAAGCGGCUCGCUGGCUCAUUUCUGACGCUAAGGUGCGAAAGCUAGGGGAGCAAACAGGAUUAGAUACCCUGGUAGUCCUAGCCGUAAACGAUGGACACUAGGUGUCGGCUCCGUCAGGGGUCGGUGCCGCAGCCAACGCGUUAAGUGUCCCACCUGAGGAGUACGGCCGCAAGGUUG